AGAAGAAUUCAACAAU
Molecule: small RNA, 16 nt
Filed under: Arabidopsis thaliana (thale cress)
Lineage: Eukaryota; Viridiplantae; Streptophyta; Magnoliopsida; Brassicales; Brassicaceae
Description: ATSL292660
Source: RNAcentral